CCUAACACAUGCAAGUCGAACGGGAAGCGGUGCAUAUUGCUUCGGUGAUAAUGUGCCGUGGAGAGUGGCGAACGGGUGCGUAACACGUAGGUAACCUGCCCUGAAAGGGGGGAUAACCACGGGAAACUGUGGCUAAUACCGUAUAAUCUCGCCGUGGCGGUGGUUACGGUGAGGAAAGCUGAGGCGAUUUGGGAGGGGCCUGCGGUCGAUUAGCUGGUUGGUGGGGUAAAGGCCCACCAAGGCGAUGAUCGAUAGCUGUUCUGAGAGGAAGACCAGCCACACGGGAACUGAGACACGGUUCCGACUCCUACGGGGGGCAGCGGUGAGGAAUAUUGCGCAAUGGGGGGAACCCUGACGCAGCAACGCCGCGUGGAGGACGAAGGUUUUCGGAUUGUAAACUCCUUAACUGGGGGAAGAGAGAGGACGGUACCCCAGGACGAAGACACGGCUAACUAGGUGCCAGCAGCCGCGGUAAUACCUAGGUGUCGAGCGUUAUCCGGAAUUACUGGGCGUAAAGGGUGCGCAGGCGGUGUUACAAGUCCGGCGUGAAAGCUUCUGGCUUAACUGGGAGAGGACGUCGGAAACUGUAGUGCUAGAGUGAAUGAGAGGGGGG
RNAcentral lists this ribosomal RNA (613 nucleotides) under uncultured bacterium. RNAcentral describes it as "bacterial SSU rRNA". It matches the Rfam family "Bacterial small subunit ribosomal RNA", at positions 47 to 661 of the family's 1533-position model. The record is from RNAcentral.